AAAUAAAAAAUAAAAAAAAGACCUCAUUAGCUACUGUAAUUUUAAGUUGAGAGAACAGGAAUUUUUCUGGGGAUCCCUUCAAUUUCACAUGCUUUUAGGUGAGUUUUAGUAUGUGUAGUUAGAGAACUUAAUUACUCAAUUCUUCUUUGAUUCAUUUCUUUUUCCAUUCUUUUCCAAAGCCAGUGACCUCACAACUGCGCUGCAGUUCUUCUUAUAUUGGUAGCAAAAUAUUUUGCAAAAUUGGUAUUGCUUAUCAUCUUACCUUCUUUGAUUUCUUUCUCCUAUCUCCUAACAGUAUUUACUUUUAAAGAAAAAUCUGCACUUUAAAAGUUUUUAUUGGCAGUGGAGCAUGAAAAGAUGCUGCAAUUCUGAGUAUGAUCCAAUGCAAUAGUUUAUUUUAAAAGUAGGAAGUUAAUUUGUUACCAACAAAUGCCUGCUGCUGCAAGUGGCAUGAUAAUGUUAUUUUUGGAGUAGUAUUCUUAUUUCUUCUUGUUAAUUUAAUCUUCGAUUUUGUAUUAAUCAUCAACAUAAUCCAUGCGUGGUGCAGAUUCAAAGAAGUUAACUUUGAU
Molecule: unclassified non-coding RNA, 569 nt
Filed under: Hevea brasiliensis (rubber tree)
Lineage: Eukaryota; Viridiplantae; Streptophyta; Magnoliopsida; Malpighiales; Euphorbiaceae
Source: RNAcentral